GGGCAAACACGCUUCCUCUGCGUGUUUGUCUAUUUAAUUUUUGGUUCAAACUUUUAUUUACGGUCAUUAUAAUCCGAUCGAAGAACAAAAGAACAUCUACUUCCUCAGCGUUUCUCCUGUCAGGACACUUCGGCGGCAACCAGUAAGCCGCUGACCUCUGCAAUGAUAACUUUUCUCUUCAAGCAUUUGAAUGUGAUGCGCUGUAUUUCUCCCUGAGGCCACUUGAGGUCGCUAUAACAUCAUUGGGAUCCUUUCCGGACGGGCCUGCAGGCCUCACCAGAAUGAGCACAUGAGACAGGUCACAGUCGAACCCGGGACUGACUGUCGUUGCUCUUGCCUGGUCUGAUUCCAGAGCCAGCGCUAGUUUUUUUGUUUUGUAAUGUGGUGACCAGAAUUGUAUACGAUAUUCUAAAUGUGGUCUUGGAAUUUUCUGCAAUUUAGACAACAUCACUUGCUUGAAAUUAAUCACUUUUAAUGUCAUGAUAGUCUGUUUAACAUUUUUUAUGGCCUAGAAGACGACAAUGAUGUGCUAACAAGACAGUCCAAGACAGUAUGAGCUGUUUAUCAUGCCUGUGGUUUGUUUGUGAUACUGCAUUCAACACUGUGCACCUGUGUAAUUUUAAUUUACUCUGUAAACUGUUUGCUCAGACGUCUUGA
Non-coding RNA from Lepisosteus oculatus (spotted gar), 657 nucleotides. The record is from RefSeq and is a predicted model, not a curated record. NCBI's taxonomy places the organism in Eukaryota, Metazoa, Chordata, Actinopteri, Semionotiformes, Lepisosteidae.